Molecule: long non-coding RNA, 325 nt
Organism: Sander lucioperca (pikeperch)
Lineage: Eukaryota; Metazoa; Chordata; Actinopteri; Perciformes; Percidae
Exons: 3
Source: RefSeq, a predicted model, not a curated record
UAACCGUCAAUUAAGACAUCCACAUUAGCCAAAUGUGUGAUUAUAGAUAUGCAAUUCAGUAAAUGGUACAUUAAAAGGAACCUGGCUGGGAGUAUCUGAUCCCAAAACAGCUCAGUAGGGUUCAGACUGCCGCUUCAUUGAACCGGGACACUGACGAUGACCUUCUCCGUAUCUGGCCGAUCAUUUUGUGCACACAUGUCCUCUGGGAUGGAAAUCUUCAAAACCUCAUCCAGUGGAUGCAGGCACUUGGGGAAAACAGGGUCCUCAUGAGUGUGGAUAUCCAGCACAUGGUUCAGGAUGGAGGUCCAUUUCGCCACUCUCUCUG